UAUUCAAAAGUUCAAGUAGUUUAAAGUUGUUGGGUUGAUCCUGUGUAAAAGCUCAAGUUGAUUCUAGUGGAAAUCUUAAGAGGAAAAUCUCGGGGACUGGAGUAGGUUGCAUGGUUUAAGGUCGAACCAAGAUAAUCUAUGGUGUGAUCUUUCUUACCAUAUAUCUUUAUAUGAUUUCCUUUUAUCUUUUUUGUUUUGUUUUUAUUUAUAUUUUUUAUUGCUUAUUCUCUUUUUAUCUUGACUUCUAAUAUAAAUAGUUUUUGUG
Molecule: long non-coding RNA, 265 nt
Filed under: Lathyrus oleraceus (garden pea)
Lineage: Eukaryota; Viridiplantae; Streptophyta; Magnoliopsida; Fabales; Fabaceae
Description: Pisum sativum (pea) long non-coding RNA (PSAT_LNC001856)
Source: RNAcentral